CCUCGUCUCCCUUUGUAAAACACACAAGCGGAGAAGGAGGGUGUGUGUGUGUGUGUGUGUGGGGGGGGGGAUGAAGUCAAUUAUACAACAGACCGGCUCUUAACGUCUCCCUCCUCUCCCUGGUCUUACUACUACAGCUGGUGGCUCCACAUGCUCGGCGGAGCUGCCUCUCCUUCACCGGGAACACCGGCUCCAGUCAGCAGGCAUGUCGGCAGGCAUGUCGGCUGCGGGCUCUGAGUGGACGGCGGAGCGGCCAGCAGCAGUGGGUUGUGCCGACGUCAUUUCCGCCUCUGUCUAGCCUUCACCCGGAACUCACGUGCGGCUGCGAGAGGCCGUUCCCCAGUGCACUGUGUUCGCACGCUCCGUUGAAAAGUGGGUCAGUAGAUCAGUGAAGCAGCAGCGCGUGCAUCGACCAGCAGGGGGCGCCACGCCCACCCUGCAGCUCCUCAUAGGAACACAGGCAGGCACGUGAGGAAUGUGAACUCUGCCCGAAACACUUUCUGUUUAAAUGUUUAUAUUUUUUAAACCAAAUAAUGCGAGUCUAAAUCAAUAAGACCCUGAAGUCUUUUAAUGGAACACACACUCCUGGUUAAAGGAAGCAGCAGCAGCAGGCUUUAAAUCACAUGGAUAAACAAUCAUGUGAUUUUAAUUUAAACUGUUUAAAUGCUAUAAUUAACUGCACAAAUAAGCCUUUUCACACGCUGGAACUGCGCAUGCGCGACCUGGGUGGGGUUUUAGGUCGAGAGGUAUAAAAAUGUGAACAAGCUCGUUCACUAUGUUGAUAUUUCCAACCUAGCAGUGUUUGGCAUUUUAUUCCAGCGAUCUUUAGUGUUUUAAUAGUGUUUAUAUUAUUAAUAUUACACAUAUUCAGACUGCUCAUGUCACUUACGGCCGAUCCGAGGACUUAUAAAAACCGAUGAGAGGGCAGUCCCCCUCUCUUCCACACAGGUGUCCCCAGGUUGACAAAAACACCAACUACCUGGGUCUCCAGUAGGCGGAGUUAGGACUCAACUUGGGGAAUGAUGCACAUAUCUUUAAAAACCAAUGAGAGAAGCCGUAUCAAAGUGACAGAGCACCUCUGCUUCCUACUUCUGUAUUUUCUCUAUGUACCUUUAUUGUUGGUAGUUUUUUUAAUUUUAAUUUUUUGACUUUUGUAGUUGUUUUAACAACUGUAAAGCAUCUUGGACUUUUUGAAAAGUGCUUAUAAUUAAAAUGUAUCAUUAUUAGUGAUGGUAAAGUGAGAUUUCCUCGUGUGAAAGGGACAGUAUGAGUUCUCACUAUGAAAAGGUAAAUUUACGAGGUCCACCGUUCACUAACCAGGUCCAUGAUUAUUUUUAUUAAGCUAUUAUUUUACAAAUCUGAAGGGAGUGAACAAGAUGGACAGGGCUAUAAGUGAAACAGCACUGUUAACUGAUUGAUCACUGUUUAAAAAGUCAGGAAAAACCUCAAUUUUUAGCUCGUGUGCAGCAUUAGCUUUAGCAGCUAACUCUGCAUUUCUCUUGGAGACCGAUACCACGUUUCCGCAAUUUUUUUCUCCAAAUAAUCAAAUCAAAUCUAAAUCUCUGCCAGACUCACUGUUUACACCGUCAGCUAUGGCGAGUUCAUCCCUCUUGACCUUUGACCUCAUGUGUGGGAACUGAACCAGAGCGAGAGUGAAAAGGCUUAUUGCAACAUCGCUUAAAGUUAUUAAAACACAUAUUACUUAAUGUAAAAUUUCAUUCAAAUUACUUGAGAAUAAAUUGAUUUAUCAGGUCUUUAUCUGCUUAAAU
Long non-coding RNA from Gouania willdenowi (blunt-snouted clingfish), 1769 nucleotides. The record is from Ensembl. Lineage: Eukaryota; Metazoa; Chordata; Actinopteri; Blenniiformes; Gobiesocidae.